UGAGCAAUCUGCCCUUCUCAUCGGAAUAAGCGUUGGAAACGACGUCUAAUGCCGAAUACGACCUCCUUUCGCAUGAUCGGAGGUGGAAAGCUCCGGCGGAGAAGGAUGAGCUCGCGGCCUAUCAGCUUGUUGGUGAGGUAAUAGCUCACCAAGGCGAUGACGGGUAGCCGGCUGAGAGGGUGACCGGCCACACUGGGACUGAGACACGGCCCAGACCUCUACGGGA
This 226-nucleotide ribosomal RNA is filed under the name uncultured bacterium. RNAcentral's name for it is "partial 16S ribosomal RNA". It matches the Rfam family "Bacterial small subunit ribosomal RNA", at positions 118 to 346 of the family's 1533-position model. The record is from RNAcentral.